MUACGUGCCAGCAGCCGCGGUAAUACGGAGGGUGCGAGCGUUAAUCGGAAUAACUGGGCGUAAAGGGCACGCAGGCGGUGACUUAAGUGAGGUGUGAAAGCCCCGGGCUUAACCUGGGAAUUGCAUUUCAUACUGGGUCGCUAGAGUACUUUAGGGAGGGGUAGAAUUCCACGUGUAGCGGUGAAAUGCGUAGAGAUGUGGAGGAAUACCGAAGGCGAAGGCAGCCCCUUGGGAAUGUACUGACGCUCAUGUGCGAAAGCGUGGGGAGCAAACAGGAUUAGAUACCCUGGUAGUCCACGCUGUAAACGCUGUCGAUUUGGGGAUUGGGCCUUGAGCUUGGUGCCCGAAGCUAACGUGAUAAAUCGACCGCCUGGGGAGUACGGCCGCAAGGUUAAAACUCAAAUGAAUUGACGGGGGCCCGCACAAGCGGUGGAGCAUGUGGUUUAAUUCGAUGCAACGCGAAGAACCUUACCUACUCUUGACAUCCAUGGAAUCUUGUAGAGAUAUGAGAGUGCCUUCGGGAAC
RNAcentral lists this ribosomal RNA (525 nucleotides) under uncultured bacterium. Its description in RNAcentral is "bacterial SSU rRNA". It matches the Rfam family "Bacterial small subunit ribosomal RNA", at positions 501 to 1027 of the family's 1533-position model. The record is from RNAcentral.